RNAcentral lists this ribosomal RNA (494 nucleotides) under uncultured bacterium. RNAcentral describes it as "partial 16S ribosomal RNA". It matches the Rfam family "Bacterial small subunit ribosomal RNA", at positions 28 to 507 of the family's 1533-position model. The record is from RNAcentral.
GACGAACGCUGGCGGCGUGCUUAACACAUGCAAGUCGAACGGUGAAGCGCCUUCCUUUUUGGUGGGUGUGGAUGAGUGGCGAACGGGUGAGUAACACGUGAGUAACCUGCCCCCUUCUUCUGGAUAACCGCAUGAAAGUGUGGCUAAUACGGGAUAUUCUGGGUCUGUCGCAUGAUGGGUCUGGGAAAGAUAUUGUUUCGGUGGGGGAUGGGCUCGCGGCCUAUCAGCUUGCUGGUGGGGUGAUGGCCUACCAAGGCGGUGACGGGUAGCCGGCCUGAGAGGGUGGACGGUCACACUGGGACUGAGACACGGCCCAGACUCCUACGGGAGGCAGCAGUGGGGAAUAUUGCACAAUGGGCGCAAGCCUGAUGCAGCGACGCCGCGUGAGGGAUGGAGGCCUUCGGGUUGUGAACCUCUUUCGCCAGUGAAGCAGGCCUGCCUCGUUUGUGGGUGGGUUGACGGUAGCUGGAGAAGAAGCGCCGGCUAACUACGUG